CACACAAACACACAGACUGUCUCACACACUCUCUCGCUUAUACACACUCACACACACACACACUCACACUCACACUAUAGCACUCUCUUGCCCAAUACAAAGGGGGUCACCCAUACAUUUGGGCUGAUGGUAUGUAGGACAGGGCUGAUUACAGUAGUAACAGUAGAGGGCUGAUGGUAUGUAGGACAGGGCUGAUUACAGUAGUAACAGUAGAGGGCUGAUGGUAUGUAGGUCAGGGCUGAUUACAGUAGUAACAGUAGAGGGCUGAUGGUAUGUAGGACAGGGCUGAUUACAGUAGUAACAGUAGAGGGCUGAUGGUAUGUAGGACAGGGCUGAUUACAGUAGUAACAGUAGAGGGCUGAUGGUAUGUAGGACAGGGGUCAUCAAUCAUUUCGGCUCGAGGGCCACAUCAGGAUACAAUGCCGUGCC
Molecule: long non-coding RNA, 429 nt
Organism: Coregonus clupeaformis (lake whitefish)
Lineage: Eukaryota; Metazoa; Chordata; Actinopteri; Salmoniformes; Salmonidae
Exons: 2
Source: RefSeq, a predicted model, not a curated record